This 30-nucleotide non-coding RNA is filed under the name Homo sapiens (human). The record is from RNAcentral. Lineage: Eukaryota; Metazoa; Chordata; Mammalia; Primates; Hominidae.
UUCUACUUACCACAGGGCCUUUGCACACGC